AUUGAACGCUGGCGGCAGGCCUAACACAUGCAAGUCGAGCGGAUGAAGGGAGCUUGCUCCUGGAUUCAGCGGCGGACGGGUGAGUAAUGCCUAGGAAUCUGCCUGGUAGUGGGGGAUAACGUCCGGAAACGGGCGCUAAUACCGCAUACGUCCUGAGGGAGAAAGUGGGGGAUCUUCGGACCUCACGCUAUCAGAUGAGCCUAGGUCGGAUUAGCUAGUUGGUGGGGUAAAGGCCUACCAAGGCGACGAUCCGUAACUGGUCUGAGAGGAUGAUCAGUCACACUGGAACUGAGACGCGGUCCAGCCUCCUACGGGAGGCAGCAGUGGGGAAUAUUGGACAAUGGGCGAAAGCCUGAUCCAGCCAUGCCGCGUGUGUGAAGAAGGUCUUCGGAUUGUAAAGCACUUUAAGUUGGGAGGAAGGGAAGUAAGUUAAUACCUUGCUGUUUGGACGUUACCAACAGAAUAAACACCGGCUAACUUCGU
Molecule: ribosomal RNA, 483 nt
Filed under: uncultured bacterium
Lineage: Bacteria
Description: partial 16S ribosomal RNA
Rfam family: Bacterial small subunit ribosomal RNA
Source: RNAcentral